RNAcentral lists this ribosomal RNA (427 nucleotides) under uncultured bacterium. RNAcentral describes it as "partial 16S ribosomal RNA". It matches the Rfam family "Bacterial small subunit ribosomal RNA", at positions 355 to 774 of the family's 1533-position model. The record is from RNAcentral.
UGGGGAAUAUUGCACAAUGGGCGCAAGCCUGAUGCAGCCAUGCCGCGUGUAUGAAGAAGGCCUUCGGGUUGUAAAGUACUUUCAGCGGGGAGGAAGGCGAUAAGGUUAAUAACCUUGUCGAUUGACGUUACCCGCAGAAGAAGCACCGGCUAACUCCGUGACAGCAGCCGCGGUAAUACGGAGGGUGCAAGCGUUAAUCGGAAUUACUGGGCGUAAAGCGCACGCAGGCGGUCUGUCAAGUCGGAUGUGAAAUCCCCGGGCUCAACCUGGGAACUGCAUUCGAAACUGGCAGGGUAGAGUCUUGUAGAGGGGGGUAGAAUUCCAGGUGUAGCGGUGAAAUGCGUAGAGAUCUGGAGGAAUACCGGUGGCGAAGGCGGCCCCCUGGACAAAGACUGACGCUCAGGUGCGAAAGCGUGGGGAGCAAACA